ACAAUGGGCGCAAGCCUGAUGCAGCCAUGCCGCGUGUGUGAAGAAGGCCUUCGGGUUGUAAAGCACUUUCAGUCGUGAGGAAGGUGGUGUAGUUAAUAGCUGUAUUAUUUGACGUUAGCGACAGAAGAAGCACCGGCUAACUCCGUGCCAGCCCCCGCGGGUAAUAAA
This 168-nucleotide ribosomal RNA is filed under the name uncultured Vibrio sp. RNAcentral describes it as "partial 16S ribosomal RNA". It matches the Rfam family "Bacterial small subunit ribosomal RNA", at positions 368 to 527 of the family's 1533-position model. Lineage: Bacteria; Pseudomonadati; Pseudomonadota; Gammaproteobacteria; Vibrionales; Vibrionaceae. The record is from RNAcentral.